UACGGAGGGUGCGAGCGUUAUCCGGAAUUACUGGGUUUAAAGGGUGCGUAGGCGGCCAUGUAAGUCAGGAGUGAAAGUUUGCGGCUCAACCGUAAAAUUGCUUUUGAUACUGCAUGGCUGGAAUCAGGAUGAGGUCAGCGGAAUGUGGCAUGUAGCGGUGAAAUGCAUAGAUAUGCCAUAGAACACCAAUUGCGAAGGCAGCUGGCUAGACCUGUAUUGACGCUGGGGCACGAAAGCGUGGGGAGCGAACAGG
RNAcentral lists this ribosomal RNA (253 nucleotides) under uncultured bacterium. RNAcentral's name for it is "partial 16S ribosomal RNA". It matches the Rfam family "Bacterial small subunit ribosomal RNA", at positions 524 to 776 of the family's 1533-position model. The record is from RNAcentral.